UGAGUACGAGAUGCUACGGCAUCGAAGCAGUCUAUGUCAUACUUCCAAGAAAAGCUUGCAAUGUCAUAAACAAAUAAUGCCUGUACCAUAACCGACACAGGUGGGUAGGUAGAGUAUACUAAGGGGCGCGAGAUAACUCUCUCUAAGGAACUCGGCAAAAUGGCUCCGUAACUUCGGGAGAAGGAGUGCCUUAUUUUUAUAAGGUUGCAAUAACAAGAUCCAAGCAACUGUUUACCUAAAACACAGGUCUCCGCUAAGUCGUAAGACGAUGUAUGGGGGCUGACGCCUGCCCAGUGCCAGAAGGUUAAAGAAGUUGGUUAGCAUUAGCGAAGCUGAUAACUGAAGCCCUGGUGAACGGCGGCCGUAACAAUAACGGUCCUAAGGUAGCGAAAUUCCUUGUCGGGUAAGUUCCGACCCGCACGAAAGGCGUAAUGAUUUGGAUACUGUCUCGGAGAGGGGCUCGGUGAAAUAGACUUGUCUGUGAAGAUGCGGACUACCUGCACCUGGACAGAAAGACCCUAUGAAGCUUUACUGUAACUUGAGAUUGAAAUUGGACUUUAUCUGCGCAGUAUAGGUGGGAGACGUUGAAAAUAUUCUUGCGGGAAUAUUGGAGUCAUCAGUGAGAUACCACUCUUAUAAUGUUAGAUUUCUAACUUUGUAUCAUUAUCUGGUCAAAGAACAGUUUCAGGCGGGCAGUUUGACUGGGGCGGUCGCCUCCCAAACGGUAACGGAGGCGCACAAAGGUUUCCUCUGAACGUGUAGAAAUCGUAUCUAGAGUGUAAAGGCAUAAGGAAGCUUGACUGUGAGACCUACAAGUCGAGCAGGGACGAAAGUCGGUCUUAGUGAUCUGACGGUGCUGAGUGGAAAGGCCGUCACUCAACGGAUAAAAGUUACUCUAGGAUAACAGGCUGAUCUCCCCCAAGAGUUCACAUCGACGGGGAGGUUUGGCACCUCGAUGUCGGCUCAUCGCAUCCUGGGGCGGUAGUACGUCCCAAGGGUUGGGCUGUUCGCCCAUGAAAACGGUACGCGAGCUGGGUUCAGAACGUCGUGAGACAGUUCGGUCCAUAUCCGGUGUAGGCGUUAGAAUAUUGAGAGGAGCCUUCUUUAGUACGAGAGGACCGGGAAGGACAUACCUCUGGUGUACCAGUUAUCGUGCCAACGGUAAACGCUGGGUAGCCAUGUAUGGAGAGGAUAACCGCUGAAAGCAUCUAAGUGGGAAGCCCACCUCAAGAUAAGUAUUCAC
RNAcentral lists this ribosomal RNA (1243 nucleotides) under metagenome. RNAcentral describes it as "bacterial LSU rRNA". It matches the Rfam family "Bacterial large subunit ribosomal RNA", at positions 1564 to 2815 of the family's 2925-position model. The record is from RNAcentral.